Molecule: ribosomal RNA, 624 nt
Filed under: Leucosporidium sp.
Lineage: Eukaryota; Fungi; Basidiomycota; Microbotryomycetes; Leucosporidiales; Leucosporidiaceae
Description: LSU rRNA
Rfam family: Eukaryotic large subunit ribosomal RNA
Source: RNAcentral
UGCAUAUCAAUAAGCGGAGGAAAAGAAACUAACAAGGAUUCCCCUAGUAACGGCGAGUGAAGCGGGAAGAGCUCAAAUUUGUAAUCUGGCACUUUCAGUGUCCGAGUUGUAAUCUCGAGAAGUAUUUUCCGCGCCGGACCGCAUACAAGUCUGUUGGAAUACAGCGUCAUAGUGGUGAGAACCCCGUAACUGAUGCGGAUGCCCGGUGCUUUGUGAUAUACUUUCGAAGAGUCGAGUUGUUUGGGAAUGCAGCUCAAAUUGGGUGGUAAAUUCCAUCUAAAGCUAAAUAUUGGAGCAAGACCGAUAGCGAACAAGUACCGUGAGGGAAAGAUGAAAAGCACUUUGGAAAGAGAGUUAACAGUACGUGAAAUUGUUGGAAGGGAAACGCUUGAAGUCAGACUUGCUAUUCGGAGUUCAGCCGCAAGGUGUAUUCUUCGAUUUGCAGGCCAGCAUCAGUUUUUGGGGGUGGAAAAUCGUGGUUUGAAGGUAGCAGUUUCGGCUGUGUUAUAGCUUUCCACUGGAUUCAUCUUCGGGGACUGAGGAACGCAGUACGCUUUUUGCAAGGCUUUCGAGCUUUUCGUACUUAGGAUGCUGGUGGAAUGGCUUUAAACGACCCGUCUUGAA